Molecule: non-coding RNA, 210 nt
Organism: Pelobates cultripes (western spadefoot toad)
Lineage: Eukaryota; Metazoa; Chordata; Amphibia; Anura; Pelobatidae
Source: the annotation of a GenBank genome assembly
AUUGUCUCCACCCUCUGCAUGGAGUCACUGAACUUUCCUCAUAGAGGAAAUUCAAUGCAUAUAUAUGAGGAGAUGCCGAUUGGCUAGGGCUGUGAUUGGCUCGUGCUGGCUCUGCCCCUGAUCUGCCUCCUUGACAAUCACAGCCAAUCCAGUGCUUUCCUAUGGGAAAGCAUUGUAGUUGGCUGGGAUCACCACUUCUGAUUAUGUUAG